GACCUUACAAAUGAUGCAGAGUGGGAAACAAAUUGUUAAAGAGUUCGUGACAAAAUGGUUGAGCGCAAUGAGUGUUGACUUUCACAGUAGCCUCACCAAGAGAAACCCCAAUACAUUCUCAGAUUUGUACUACAGCAAA
Long non-coding RNA from Thalassophryne amazonica, 139 nucleotides. RefSeq lists it as uncharacterized. The transcript has 3 exons. Lineage: Eukaryota; Metazoa; Chordata; Actinopteri; Batrachoidiformes; Batrachoididae. The record is from RefSeq and is a predicted model, not a curated record.